UUUUCAGUGCCCAAAAAAAACACUCAAUAAAAAUAAUGCGUUAUUUGUCCUUGUAUUACACAAUUCGUACAUAGCUUAGUUUCUUUUAACCAAACGACCCCCAUGUCAGGAUGACGAUGGUACUCUUCACAAAGCUACAAACAUGCAUGUAGACUUCAGGCAGUCUGCAUUUGUAUUUUGCAGCUUAAAAAUUACUUUGACCAUCAACCUUCUUCCCAGUGUAUGUUAAAUUACUUUUGACCAUCAACCUUCUUCCCAGUGUAUGUUAAAUUACU
RNAcentral lists this unclassified non-coding RNA (275 nucleotides) under Hevea brasiliensis (rubber tree). Lineage: Eukaryota; Viridiplantae; Streptophyta; Magnoliopsida; Malpighiales; Euphorbiaceae. The record is from RNAcentral.